Molecule: transfer RNA, 70 nt
Filed under: Acidobacteriota bacterium
Lineage: Bacteria; Pseudomonadati; Acidobacteriota
Description: Acidobacteria bacterium tRNA-Ser
Source: RNAcentral
UGAAGUGUGCCUCGCAUACCCCUGCCACUCGAGCAGGGGGCCGCGGGUUCGAGUCCCGCCACGUCCUCCA